GGCCUUGGCAUGCCACAUCUUAAGGCGGGAAGAAGUAAUGACACUGUGGUGGAGAUCUUCAGAUUUUGACCUCUUAUUUGAAGGGUUUUUGUCGCGGAAGAGUCCUAACAAGCAGGAUCUUCAAGGUCUGAUGCCUUCUAUAUGGUGGUCUGGUUCGUGUGAGGAUGUGUCAAAUGAGGCUAGCCUGUUACUGACUACAGGUGCUUUGUCAGAAAUAAUUAACAAGGUUGAAGAGAAGCAGAGGGACCUCUGCCGCUUGGUUAUGC
This 266-nucleotide unclassified non-coding RNA is filed under the name Hevea brasiliensis (rubber tree). Lineage: Eukaryota; Viridiplantae; Streptophyta; Magnoliopsida; Malpighiales; Euphorbiaceae. The record is from RNAcentral.